Molecule: ribosomal RNA, 250 nt
Filed under: uncultured prokaryote
Description: partial 16S ribosomal RNA
Rfam family: Bacterial small subunit ribosomal RNA
Source: RNAcentral
UACGUAGGGUGCAAGCGUUAUCCGGAUUUACUGGGUGUAAAGGGCGAGUAGACGGCAUAGCAAGUCAGAUGUGAAAUUUCAGUGCUCAACAUUGAAACUGCAUCUGAAACUGUUAAGCUAGAGUGCAGGAGAGGAAAACGGAAUUCCUAGUGUAGCGGUGAAAUGCGUAGAUAUUAGGAGGAACACCAGUGGCGAAGGCGGUUUUCUGGACUGUAACUGACGUUGAGGAGCGAAAGUGUGGGGAGCAAAC